RNAcentral lists this small RNA (593 nucleotides) under Pongo abelii (Sumatran orangutan). RNAcentral describes it as "retained intron". The record is from RNAcentral. Lineage: Eukaryota; Metazoa; Chordata; Mammalia; Primates; Hominidae.
CUCCUGCUGGGUUUCCUUGAGGGUCCCGGGGCUCCUGCACGAUCCCCUCCGUGUUCUCCCUCCUGCAGCCGUGGAGCAACUGCGUGUGCAUGUCAGACGGCACAAGGGGGUGAGGAAGUUCGAGUGCACCGAGUGCGGCUACAAGUUUACCCGACAGGUAGGCCAGGGCCCAGGUCCGUUCCCCUACCCCGGGAUCCCUCGAAGUCCUGAGCUCACCCUCCCCGCCAGGCCCACCUGCGGAGGCACAUGGAGAUCCACGACCGGGUGGAGAACUACAACCCGCGGCAGCGCAAGCUCCGCAACCUGAUCAUUGAGGAUGAGAAGAUGGUGGUGGUGGCGCUGCAGCCGCCUGCAGAGCUGGAGGUGGGCUCGGCGGAGGUCAUUGUGGAGUCCCUGGCCCAGGGCGGCCUGGCCUCCCAGCUCCCCGGCCAGAGACUGUGUGCAGAGGAGAGCUUCACCGGCCCAGGUGUCCUGGAGCCCUCCCUCAUCAUCACAGCUGCUGUCCCCGAGGACUGUGACACAUAGCCUACUCUAGCCACCAGAGCCCACUUGGCCCCACCCCUCAAUAAACCGUGUGGCUUUGGACUCGCGUA